RNAcentral lists this ribosomal RNA (253 nucleotides) under uncultured Eubacteriales bacterium. RNAcentral's name for it is "uncultured Clostridiales bacterium partial 16S ribosomal RNA". It matches the Rfam family "Bacterial small subunit ribosomal RNA", at positions 524 to 776 of the family's 1533-position model. The record is from RNAcentral. Lineage: Bacteria; Bacillati; Bacillota; Clostridia; Eubacteriales.
UACGGAGGGGGCAAGCGUUAUCCGGAUUUACUGGGUGUAAAGGGUGCGCAGACGGCGAUGCAAGCCAGGAGUGAAAGCCCGGGGCCCAACCCCGGGACUGCUCUUGGAACUGCGUGGCUGGAGUGCAGGAGGGGCAGGCGGAAUUCCUGGUGUAGCGGUGAAAUGCGUAGAUAUCAGGAGGAAUACCGUUAGCGAAGGCGGCAAUCUGGCUGGAAACUGACGCUGAGGUGCGAAAGCGUGGGUAGCAAACAGG